UACGUAGGGGGCAAGCGUUGUCCGGAAUCAUUGGGCGUAAAGAGCUCGUAGGCGGUUUGUCGCGUCUGCUGUGAAAACCUAAGGCUCAACCUUGGGCUUGCAGUGGGUACGGGCAGACUAGAGUGCGGUAGGGGUGACUGGAAUUCUCGGUGUAGCGGUGAAAUGCGUAGAUAUCGAGAGGAACACCUGCGGCGAAGGCGGGUUGCUGGGCUGAUACUGACGCUGAGGCGCGAAAGCCAGGGGAGCGAACGGG
Molecule: ribosomal RNA, 253 nt
Filed under: uncultured bacterium
Lineage: Bacteria
Description: partial 16S ribosomal RNA
Rfam family: Bacterial small subunit ribosomal RNA
Source: RNAcentral